GGGCCAGGAAGAUACCCUGGAGGAGAUCAUGGCAACCCACUCCAGUAUUCUUGCCUGGAGAAUCCCCAUGGACAGAGGAGCCUGGAAGGCUAUAGUCCAUAGGGUCAUAGAGAGUUGGACAUGACCAAAGUGACUUAGCACGCAUGCAGUUCUGUCUCUGCAGCUCUUAACUGUGCCUCUAGACAUCUUUCCUGACUGUUGUUCACCUGGAAGGUGUCCUUGCCAAAUGGGACUACAUUUGCUUUCUACACCUUCUUCCUCUGCCAAACAAGGACGCAGCUGCAAUCAAUAACAGACUGCUUCCAACUUCUGAUGCGAUGCAGGCUUCCAGAUGACAAGGGGCUUCAAAACCAAGCACCAUGAAGAAUAUUUAGAGCCCUUUAGUGGAGGAGAAAGCCUGUGUGCUGCUCAACAAUCAGAGACCUCCUAUCUCUUCCAACUCUUUCUCUGGCUGCAUUCCAGGAUCAUGGCUACACCUGGAGCCAAGGGCAGCUGGGAGAAGCGGCAGAGAACCGCAAACAGGAGCCUAUGCCAUCAGUGGGAUGCUUAGAAAAAUCACCUUGACUGCUGCUUCAGAGGAUCCUAUCCCUUUUGGGAUCUUCCCAACCCAGGGAUCGAACCUGCAUCUCCUGCUUAGCAGGCAGAUACUUUACCACUGAGCCACCUGAUACGCCUGUCCCAUUUGGUCAUUGAGAUCACAGUGCUUACCCAGUGAGUCAGCAGUCCAAAAUUACAAACGGAGUCACAAGAAAGGACGCUCUUCCAACUGCUGGUGAUACCACUGCAACAAAGAGAGACAAAUUCCCUCUGAGAAUUACAUUCUAAUAGGGGAAAACAGACUUUACACCAGACAAAUUAAGCAUAUAGAUCAUGUUAAGUGCUAUGGAAAAAAAAAAAAUCAAUCAAUCAAGAAAGGCAGAUUUGAGGGGCUUCCCUGGUGGUCCAGUGGUUAAGAGUCUGCCUGUCAAUGCAGGGGACACGGGUUCAAUCUGGGAAGAUCCCAUGUGCCAUGGAGCAACCAAGUCCAUGCGCCCCAUCUACUGAGCCUGCGGUUUAGAGCCCCUGCUAUACAAGAGAAGCACUCCACAAUGAGAAGCCUGAGCACCACAAUGAAGAGGAACCCCUGCUCACUACAACUAGAGAAAGCCCACACACAGCAACAAGGACCUAAUGC
Long non-coding RNA from Bos taurus (domestic cattle), 1174 nucleotides. The record is from Ensembl. NCBI's taxonomy places the organism in Eukaryota, Metazoa, Chordata, Mammalia, Artiodactyla, Bovidae.